CUUUGAGACAAUGUCUAUUGUAAAAAGUGCCAUACAAAUAAAAUUGAAUUGAAUUGAAUUGUAGUGAGAGAGGAACUUUUCAGGUGUACUACAAUGUAAAACACGCUUAACUCUUUUCCACUGACAGGGUGCUGGUCCUGAUUCUGGUCCCAAAUGGAUUUCAGCAAUCAAAUUGCUGGUCUAGAACCAAGAAUCGUUGAUACCAUGGCGUUUUGGGUGUGGAGCAACUCGACUUAUUUAGAAGACUGCCAGGAAAAUAAUAUGUGAUCGACGUGAGAAGGUUGGAGAGGAUGACUGAAAAGUAACUAUUGAUUGCUGCUGUGUGUUACUCGGUUUGUUUUUUCUUCUCAAUGAAAUAUUUGGGAAAAAGAAGAAGGAAAAAGAGAAAUGUCCAGUAGAACGUCCAGCAGAAAUGUCCAGUAGAAAUGUCCAGCAAAACGUCCAGUAGAAAUGUCCAGUAGAAAUGUCCAGUAGAAACGUCCAGUCAGAAACGUCACAUAGAAAUGUUCAGUAGAAACGUCCAGUAGAAAUGUCCAGUAGAAACGUCCAGUAGAAACGUCCCGCAGAAAUGUCCAGCAGAAACGUCCAGCAGAAACGUCCAGUAGAAAUGUUCAGUAGAAACGUCCAGCAGAAAUGUCCACUAGAAACGUCCAGCAGAAAUGUCCAGUAGAAAUGUUCAGUAGAAACGUCCAGCAGAAACGUCCAG
Molecule: long non-coding RNA, 706 nt
Organism: Ictalurus punctatus (channel catfish)
Lineage: Eukaryota; Metazoa; Chordata; Actinopteri; Siluriformes; Ictaluridae
Source: Ensembl